GGGGAAUUUUGGACAAUGGGGGAAACCCUGAUUCAGCCAUGCCGCGUGUGUGAAGAAGGCCUUCGGGUUGUAAAGCACUUUCAGCGGGGAGGAAGGCGGUGAGGUUAAUAACCUCAUCGAUUGACGUUACCCGCAGAAGAAGCACCGGCUAACUCCGUGCCAGCAGCCGCGGUAAUACGGAGGGUGCAAGCGUUAAUCGGAAUUACUGGGCGUAAAGCGCACGCAGGCGGUCUGUCAAGUCGGAUGUGAAAUCCCCGGGCUCAACCUGGGAACUGCAUUCGAAACUGGCAGGCUAGAGUCUUGUAGAGGGGGGUAGAAUUCCAGGUGUAGCGGUGAAAUGCGUAGAGAUCUGGAGGAAUACCGGUGGCGAAGGCGGCCCCCUGGACAAAGACUGACGCUCAGGUGCGAAAGCGUGGGGAGCAAAC
RNAcentral lists this ribosomal RNA (425 nucleotides) under uncultured bacterium. RNAcentral describes it as "bacterial SSU rRNA". It matches the Rfam family "Bacterial small subunit ribosomal RNA", at positions 356 to 773 of the family's 1533-position model. The record is from RNAcentral.